Molecule: long non-coding RNA, 272 nt
Organism: Dipodomys spectabilis (banner-tailed kangaroo rat)
Lineage: Eukaryota; Metazoa; Chordata; Mammalia; Rodentia; Heteromyidae
Exons: 2
Source: RefSeq, a predicted model, not a curated record
CUUGAGCCACAGCUGCACUUCUGACACGUGAAAUUUUUAGACAAAAUUGGAUAAAGAGCAAGUGGUCAUCUAAAUACAUGACUUUCAUCUUGACAGUGCGAGAAUUACGAAGGCUAAUGAAAUAGCAAUGGUUGAUCAUCACUUACAGGAUGUAAAUGAGGUGUUUCCCUUUGUUGGCAGAGUUCCAAGCUUUGACCAGAAAUAGGGCAUCCCUGCUGUCUAACUCUGCAGCUGUACGUGUGGGCCAAUCAAUAAAAAAGUCUUACAGGGUC